AUGCAAGUCGAACGGGACAUUGUGAGUAGCAAUACAAGCAGUGUCUAGUGGCGAACGGGUGCGUAACACGUGGAUACAUUCCGGGAAGCGGGGGAUAGCCCAGGGAAACUUGGAUUAAUACCGCAUGUGGUCGAAAGACUAAAGGCAGGGACCGCAGGGCCUGCCACUUCCCGAUUGGUCCGCGGCCUAUCAGCUAGUUGGCGGGGUAAAAGCCCACCAAGGCUACGACGGGUAGCUGGUCUUAGAGGACGACCAGCCACACUGGAACUGAGACACGGUCCAGACACCUACGGGUGGCAGCAGUCGAGAAUCUUUCACAAUGGGGGGCAACCCUGAUGGAGCGACGCCGCGUGGAGGAUAAGGUCUUCGGAUUGUAAACUCCUGUCAUGUGUGAACAAGGUUGUCUCGUUAAUAGCGGGGCAAAUUGAUGGAACACAAGAGGAAGAGCGGCUAA
RNAcentral lists this ribosomal RNA (454 nucleotides) under uncultured bacterium. RNAcentral's name for it is "bacterial SSU rRNA". It matches the Rfam family "Bacterial small subunit ribosomal RNA", at positions 55 to 500 of the family's 1533-position model. The record is from RNAcentral.